UUUUUUUUUCUUCUUCUUCUUCUUCUUUUUUCUCUCCCCAGCUCUAAGGCUGGGAAUGUAAACAAAAACGAACAGGUAGAGUGCUGGAUUUGGCAUGUGGAUUGCAGUUUGGAUCAAAAAACAAGGCAGGAGAUCCUAUUGCAGCUCAAGGUGUUAAGGACCUGACAUUGUCCCUGUGAGGAUGUGAGUUCCAUCCCUGGCCUCACUCAGUGGGUUAAGGAUUCAGCAUUGCUGCCAGCCGUGGUAUUGGUCAUAGAUGUGGCUCAGAUCUGGUGUUGCUGGCUGUGGCAUAGCUCCGAUUAUACUCCUAGCCUAGAAACUUCCCUAUGCCACGAAUGUGGCCAUAAAAAGAAAAAAAAAAAGAAAAUACAAAACAAACAACAACCAAAAACAAAAAUGCAAGUUCUCCAGCAAAUCUCUACUGAGUUUGUACACAUUAACAUCGCAGAGACCUUAUAUCGCAUUCCUUUAUAGUAAUAGUUUCCUAAAGAGAACUGGGGCCCCAUCAGGGGAGUGAGGUCCUCAAGCAGUCACACAACAGGUCCUCACCAUGCGUGUGGAAGAAAGGAAGGGUGUCAGACGUUGCAGACACCCAGCAUGAGCAUCCUGGGUGCUGAUUCUGCGAUCCAGGGCAAACCUUGAAUACCUAGGCCACCUCCUCUCCAGCCAGUGGCCUUUCACCUGCUUCCACCCUCUUGCAGCCUUGUUGUAGCUUUUCAACUCAUUAGCAGGACCUGAGGGAGUUGUAAGCUUGGCAGAUGCUCCUCAAUGGACCAUGUGGCAGAAGAAGAUUAUAUUCUGUGCCUACUGCUUUUCUGCGACUAAAGCGUUUCUCAAACACUUGGCAAAGAUGUGCCCCGGUGUAGGCAAACCCCAGGAAAAGACACUUACAAACCCAUGCACUCUGUCCCCUUAUUCUCUACACACUCCUAAAUAAAUACACAAAUAAGUUGGGGCACGAUCAUUGAAAAGAGAAUUCUUUACAAAAGAAAUAAUUGCAAGGAAUCGCUAAGUAAUGCUUCCUUAAAAUAAUUCCAAGGUUUCUCUAUUAAUUUGUCAUAACAGCCUUAGAAACUAAUGUGUGUGGGAUUAAUAAGGGAUGUGUCUAGGAGGCCCCAGUCUGGAACUGACCUCCUGGAGCAAAAGUAACAGUAUGAAGUGGCCUUUUCUUCCUCCCUGGCUCCCCUAACUCAGGGUCAGGUGCAUUUGGUGCAGUGGAUUUGAAAGCAAAGGUUGGAUUGUCUGGACCAUAUUGUCAUCCUUUGGAAAGCACUCAGUGUCCUGGAUGUCAGUAAAAGAUAGUCAUUCUGUUGUGCAUGUUAUUUUUCAUGUCAGCGAGAAUGCAUAGUCAAAGCUUAUUUCUUACAUGUGACAAAUGUUUAUCUCCUACCCUUAUUGAGAAGUAGUUCCCAAGUGUUUUAGUCUAAGGACUCUUUUUUUUUUUUUUUUUUUCUUUUUACGGCCACACCUGUGGCAUAUGGCAGUUCCUGGGCCCAGGGUUGAGUCAGAGCUGCAGCUCUGUGGCCUAUGCCACAGCCACAGUAACAAGGCAUCCAAGCUGCAUCUACAACCUACUCUGGAUCCUUGACCCCCUGAGCAAGGCCAGAGGUCAAACCCACCUCCUCAUAGAGACUAUGUCGGGUUCUUAACCCACUGAGCCAGAACGAAAUCUCCUAAGGUCUCUUUACACUCUUAAAAAUCAUUGAGGACCUCAAAUAUCUUUUCUAUGAUGGUUAUAGCUAUUGAUAUUUGCCAUAUUAGAAAUGAAAAAAAGCACAUAUUAGAGAUGUUCUUAUUGCUUUAUUUAAAAUAAUAAGCCUAUUACAUGUUAGCAUAAAUAACGUUUUAUGAAAAAUGAUUAGCAAAAAGAUUAGUAAGAAGCAUAGCAUUUCCCCACAUUUUUGCAGGUCUCUUUAAUAUCUGGCUUAAUAGAAGAUAGCUGAAUUUACAUAUCUACUUCUGUGUUCAAGUUUUUGUGAUAGCACAUUUCCUGACAGGCUCUGGAAAACUGCAGGGUACACACAUGUGAGAGCAUGAAAAGGCCAGUGACAGCCUAAUGUUACUAGUAUUAAUAUAGCAAUAAUUUUUAUGUUAAUAUUAGUUGGUAUCAAUCAUUAAUAUAAAUUAAUGAUAUUAAUAUCACAUUAUAAUAUAAUAUUACUAUGUGAUAGGUUUUGACUUCAUGAAUUAUUGCAGGGCCCCCCACCAGGACUUGCUAGAUUACAUUUUGAGAACCUCUGAUGUAUCAGGACACCCCAAAAAGGUAUUUAUGUUUCUUCAGUAAAACUUAAUCACCUGUCCUGUUGACUAGGUACAAACUUCUCAUUGUGACUACGCUUCUGAAGUUGUGGUUCAAAGAUGGUUGUCACCUGAACAUUUUUAAAAAUGUAAGUGAACAUUUCAAAAUUAGCAUCACUGCCAAUGUACGACAUACGUUGCUCUUCACAGCUGAGAAAGGGUUGGCUGAAAUCGAGAGAUAUAAAGCAAAAGAAGAAUUGUGGCUAAUGACCCACAUUGCCCAUUAAGUUUGGGCUUAUGUGUUUUGGGUUUUGGUUUUUGCACUCUGGCUACAUAGAUUUGUCUUUAUUCACAGAUCAGAAUCCAUCAAUUAUCAAGUUUUUGUUUGUUUGAUUUCAUCCUCAUGGAGCCUAGUUGGGUUCGUUACCGCUGAGCCACAACAGGAACUCCUUAAUCACUUCAGUCUUUAGAAGCAAUCAAGAAACACCUGAGGAGUUCCCGUCCCAUGGUAAAAAACUGGACUAGUAUCCAUGAGGAUGUGGGUUCAAUCCCUGGCCUGCUCAGGGGAUUAAGCAUCUGGCAUUACCAUGAGCUGUGGUAUAGGUCACAGACGUGGCUUGGAUCUGGCAUUGCUGUGGCUGUGGUGUAGACCAACAACUGCAGCUCCGAUUCAACCCCUAGCCUGAGAACUUUCAUAAGCCACAGGUGUGGCCCUAAAAA
Molecule: long non-coding RNA, 2958 nt
Filed under: Sus scrofa (pig)
Lineage: Eukaryota; Metazoa; Chordata; Mammalia; Artiodactyla; Suidae
Description: lncRNA (ENSSSCG00015058505.1)
Source: RNAcentral